RNAcentral lists this ribosomal RNA (405 nucleotides) under uncultured bacterium. Its description in RNAcentral is "partial 16S ribosomal RNA". It matches the Rfam family "Bacterial small subunit ribosomal RNA", at positions 28 to 526 of the family's 1533-position model. The record is from RNAcentral.
GACGAACGCUGGCGGCGUGCUUAACACAUGCAAGUCGAGCGGAGCGGCGCACGGGUGAGUAACGCGUGAGUAACUGCCCCCCUCUCUGGGAUAACAGUUGGAAACGGCUGCUAAUACCGGAUAGUGGGGGAUGACUCGCGUCCUAUCAGCUUGUUGGUGGGGUAGUGGCCGACCAAGGCGACGACGGGUAGCCGGCCUGAGUGGGCGACCGGCCACAUUGGGCUGAGAGACGGCCCAGACUCCGACUGGAGGCAGCGGGGGGGAAUAUUGCACAAUGGGGGAGAGCCUGAGGCAGCAACGCCGCGUGCGGGAUGACGGCCUUCGGGUUGAAAACCGCUUUCAGCCAUGACGCGGUAGUGGCAGAAGAAGCACCGGCUAACUACGUGCCAGCAGCCGCGGUAAUUC